GCCUUCGUGGUGUAAUGGUCAGCACACUGAGCCGGUAUUUCAGAGGUCCGCGGUUCGAUUCCCGGCGAAGACG
This is a non-coding RNA of Stegodyphus mimosarum, 73 nucleotides long. Lineage: Eukaryota; Metazoa; Arthropoda; Arachnida; Araneae; Eresidae. The record is from Rfam.